CCUCUUUCAGUCUCUGACUUCUACAACAUGGACAUCAUCAAACAUGGUUUCCUAAGCUUGUUAACACUUCUGCUCUGGAUAAAAGGUCUAGUUGAUGGGAGUGAUGUCACUCAGACUUCCAUACUGUGGAAAUUCAAGGGUGAAAAUGCAACAAUAGACUGCAACCACACCAAGGAUGUUAGCUACAGCCAGAUGUACUGGUACAGACAGCUGCCAGGAGAAGCAAUGAAACUCAUUGUGUUCACUGUUGCAAACAGCAAACCUGACUUUGAACCAGACUUCAGAGAUGAGAGAUUCUCAGCCACUAAGCCUGACUUUGCUAGUGGGACAUUCAAGGUGAAGAAUCUGGAAACAAAAGAUAAAGGCUUGUAUUUCUGUGCUGUGAGUCAACACAGUGAUACAGAUGCACUUGACAGCUGAACAAAAACCUCAGCAAGCUGUUACCAACUGUAUUUAUCUGUUGUACUGUAGGAGGACCUCAAGUACAACACAGAACUCACAAUACA
Thunnus maccoyii (southern bluefin tuna) is the source of this 506-nucleotide non-coding RNA. Lineage: Eukaryota; Metazoa; Chordata; Actinopteri; Scombriformes; Scombridae. The record is from the annotation of a RefSeq genome assembly.